CGGGGAUUAGCUCAGCUGGCUAGAGCACCUGCUUUGCAAGCAGGGGUCAUCGGUUCGAAUCCGAUAUUCUCCACGA
This 76-nucleotide transfer RNA is filed under the name Porphyromonas gingivalis. Its description in RNAcentral is "tRNA-Ala". It matches the Rfam family "tRNA". Rfam says of the family: Transfer RNA (tRNA) molecules are approximately 80 nucleotides in length. The record is from RNAcentral. Lineage: Bacteria; Pseudomonadati; Bacteroidota; Bacteroidia; Bacteroidales; Porphyromonadaceae.